GGACAGGUGGCCGAGCGGUUGAAGGCGCACGCCUGGAACGCGUGUAUAGGUUAAUAGCCUAUCGAGGGUUCGAAUCCCUCCCUGUCCGCCA
Molecule: transfer RNA, 91 nt
Filed under: Pigmentiphaga aceris
Lineage: Bacteria; Pseudomonadati; Pseudomonadota; Betaproteobacteria; Burkholderiales; Alcaligenaceae
Description: tRNA-Ser
Rfam family: tRNA
About the family: Transfer RNA (tRNA) molecules are approximately 80 nucleotides in length. Their secondary structure includes four short double-helical elements and three loops (D, anti-codon, and T loops).
Source: RNAcentral